GAAUCCGCUAAGGAGUGUGUAACAACUCACCUGCCGAAUGAAUUAGCCCUGAAAAUGGAUGGCGCUGAAGCGGGUAGCCGACACUAYGCCGUCUGACGUAAUUUUUUUUUAUCGUUCAGAUGAGUAGGAGGACGUGGCGGUUGUAUAGAAGCGUGUGCGCGAGCAUGCGUGGAACGGCCGCUAGUGCAGAUCUUGGUGGUAGUAGCAAAUAUUCAAAUGAGAUCCUUGAAGGGCGAAGCGGGGAAGGGUUCCACGCGAACAUUGAUUGAGCGUGGGUUAGUCGUUCCUAAGCCGUCUGGCAAUAGCUAGGCACCGGCGAAAGGGAAGCAGGUUGAUAUUCCUGCACACGGAUGUAGAUGCGGUGACGCACGCUGUGGCGGUGACGUUGUCGGUACGCACUGGGCAGAGAUUUCUUUUCUGUUUGACAGAUCCAAGCGCACGCUGUGGAAUCCGCUUGUCGGGAGAAACAGGUGUGUUGUGGCAGAGCGCCGGGUAUUAUCUGGCGUCCAGUUUGCGACCGGCGGCCCUUGAAAAACCGUCCGCGAUAAGAUUCUACGCCGUAACGUACCCAUAACCGCAUCAGGUCCCCAAGGUGAACAGCCUCUGUCCGAUAUGAAAAAUGCAGGUAAGGGAAGUCGGCA
Molecule: ribosomal RNA, 641 nt
Filed under: Herposiphonia sp. ARS-2011
Lineage: Eukaryota; Rhodophyta; Florideophyceae; Ceramiales; Rhodomelaceae
Description: eukaryotic LSU rRNA
Rfam family: Eukaryotic large subunit ribosomal RNA
Source: RNAcentral